UUGCAGAAACAACUCUAGGGAAUUAACACCACUACGACUAAUAAUCUCACACUCUACAAAUAACAAUAAAAAUGGCUCAUACCAUAUUUGCAUUUAGCAGUCAAUUCACCACAUAACCAAUGCACAGGACUCAACUUAAAGGUUCCCACAUAACCAAUGCACAGGACUCAACUUAAAGGUCAUAGGUAGAACGAGAAUGAUCUGUAGCAGAUUGUGCACCAGAUCCGAGAUUUGAGUUUUGUGAUGUGAACAAAUUUGGGUAUGUGAAGUAUGGCUCAUCGUCCAUUGAAGGCAAUCUCUGUGGCUGGUGACUAACAGGCCCU
Molecule: long non-coding RNA, 323 nt
Filed under: Populus tremula
Lineage: Eukaryota; Viridiplantae; Streptophyta; Magnoliopsida; Malpighiales; Salicaceae
Description: long non-coding RNA (PTRE_LNC000802)
Source: RNAcentral